RNAcentral lists this ribosomal RNA (1346 nucleotides) under uncultured bacterium. RNAcentral's name for it is "bacterial SSU rRNA". It matches the Rfam family "Bacterial small subunit ribosomal RNA", at positions 28 to 1381 of the family's 1533-position model. The record is from RNAcentral.
GACGAACGCUGGCGGCGUGCUUAACACAUGCAAGUCGAACGGAAAGGCCCUGCUUUUGUGGGGUGCUCGAGUGGCGAACGGGUGAGUAACACGUGAGUAACCUGCCCUUGACUUUGGGAUAACUUCAGGAAACUGGGGCUAAUACCGGAUAGGAGCUCCUGCUGCAUGGUGGGGGUUGGAAAGUUUCGGCGGUUGGGGAUGGACUCGCGGCUUAUCAGCUUGUUGGUGGGGUAGUGGCUUACCAAGGCUUUGACGGGUAGCCGGCCUGAGAGGGUGACCGGCCACAUUGGGACUGAGAUACGGCCCAGACUCCUACGGGAGGCAGCAGUGGGGAAUAUUGCACAAUGGGCGGAAGCCUGAUGCAGCAACGCCGCGUGCGGGAUGACGGCCUUCGGGUUGUAAACCGCUUUCGCCUGUGACGAAGCGUGAGUGACGGUAAUGGGUAAAGAAGCACCGGCUAACUACGUGCCAGCAGCCGCGGUGAUACGUAGGGUGCGAGCGUUGUCCGGAUUUAUUGGGCGUAAAGGGCUCGUAGGUGGUUGAUCGCGUCGGAAGUGUAAUCUUGGGGCUUAACCCUGAGCGUGCUUUCGAUACGGGUUGACUUGAGGAAGGUAGGGGAGAAUGGAAUUCCUGGUGGAGCGGUGGAAUGCGCAGAUAUCAGGAGGAACACCAGUGGCGAAGGCGGUUCUCUGGGCCUUUCCUGACGCUGAGGAGCGAAAGCGUGGGGAGCGAACAGGCUUAGAUACCCUGGUAGUCCACGCUGUAAACGGUGGGUACUAGGUGUGGGGUCCAUUCCACGGGUUCCGUGCCGUAGCUAACGCUUUAAGUACCCCGCCUGGGGAGUACGGCCGCAAGGCUAAAACUCAAAGGAAUUGACGGGACCCCGCACAAGCGGCGGAGCAUGCGGAUUAAUUCGAUGCAACGCGUAGAACCUUACCUGGGUUUGACAUGGAUCGGGAGCGCUCAGAGAUGGGUGUGCCUCUUUUGGGGUCGGUUCACAGGUGGUGCAUGGCUGUCGUCAGCUCGUGUCGUGAGAUGUUGGGUUAAGUCCCGCAACGAGCGCAACCCUUGUUCACUGUUGCCAGCACGUUAUGGUGGGGACUCAGUGGAGACCGCCGGGGUCAACUCGGAGGAAGGUGGGGAUGACGUCAAGUCAUCAUGCCCCUUAUGUCCAGGGCUUCACGCAUGCUACAAUGGCUGGUACAGAGAGUGGCGAGCCUGUGAGGGUGAGCGAAUCUCGGAAAGCCGGUCUCAGUUCGGAUUGGGGUCUGCAACUCGACCUCAUGAAGUCGGAGUCGCUAGUAAUCGCAGAUCAGCAACGCUGCGGUGAAUACGUUCCCGGGGCU